CUAUACAGCCUACUGUCUUUC
This 21-nucleotide microRNA is filed under the name Lepisosteus oculatus (spotted gar). RNAcentral describes it as "Loc-Let-7-P2a3_3p* (star (passenger))". RNAcentral also lists the same sequence under 3 other names. Lineage: Eukaryota; Metazoa; Chordata; Actinopteri; Semionotiformes; Lepisosteidae. The record is from RNAcentral.